Molecule: small RNA, 150 nt
Filed under: human gut metagenome
Description: M-box riboswitch (ykoK leader)
Rfam family: M-box riboswitch aptamer (ykoK leader)
About the family: M-box riboswitch, also know as ykoK leader is described as a metaloregulatory RNA that sense divalent metals and function as a genetic control element of genes related to divalent metal transport in bacteria.
Source: RNAcentral
AUAAUUCGGUAGGUGAGGCUACCGCAGGGAUACGGACUGCUGCCGCGAAGUGGUGGAGACACCAUGAGAAGGCCAACAGUUUAUGUCGAAAUUAAGGCGUAGAACUAAUGCAGUUUCAUUGCCCUGUGAUGCUAAAGCUUGGACGAUGGC